Molecule: RNA transcript, 890 nt
Organism: Rhagoletis zephyria (snowberry fruit fly)
Lineage: Eukaryota; Metazoa; Arthropoda; Insecta; Diptera; Tephritidae
Source: RefSeq, a predicted model, not a curated record
UUUGGCAAACUGCGUGAAAUUGUUGUUGCAGCAAACUCGGAGAGAGAGAGUUUGGUGACUCUCACAGCAAACUAAAUUUGUUGGGCCAAACAGAUGAAAAAUAAGUGUUGCCAUACACAAAAAUUUGCUGGAAAAUACAGUAUUGCCAUACCGAUAUGGUAGAUGUUGCAGUUAUACACAAAACAUGUUUAUUCCAGAAGAAAACGCGCUGAGUAUAUGUACUGCUAACGCAAAAUUUUCGAUAUAAAGAUAUUUAAUAUCCGCGCGAAUAUAAAAGUUAUUAAAAAAUGUCUAUCUCCUGGAGCCGAGCGUUAACGGAAGAAUUAAUAAAUCUUCUCCAGGCCCGAGAGUGUCUUUGGAACACAAAGCAUUGCCAUUAUAGUGACAGGGAUAAGCGAAAUGCGGCAAUAAAUGGAAUUCACGACGUUUUGGUGACGAAAGAUCCCCUUGUGACCCCAAAAAACAUUAGGGAAAAAAUUCAAGGACUGCGCUCACAAUUUCGGAGAGAAGUGAGGGCAAUUGAAGCCAGUAAACGGAGUGGAUGCGGCGCAGCAGAUGUGAAAACACCCAAAAUGUGGUGUUACGAGCUGCUCCAGUUUCUACGUCCAAACGUAGAAAUAAGGGAGAUGCAGGAUAGAUUAAAUGAUGAAAACAGGCCACAAACGAGAUACGAUACAGACAAUAAUAUAAACACUGAUAACGCCUCGUUGAGGGACGAACCGUCGGUAAGUUAUAUUUUCACGAUUCGUAGCCGAAAUGCUGAAAAACGUUGAAUUCAUUAAAAUAAGUUAAAAAGGCUCAACCAUAUUUAUUUAAAAUUUCAGGCAUUAUAUUUAAUUUGCAUAACUUUUAUUGCUGUUCUAACCACUCCAGCUUUCCUUCAUUAUUAA